CUGCUGCCUUCCGUAGGAGUCUGGGCCGUGUCUCAGUCCCAAUGUGGCCGGCCACCCUCUCAGGUCGGCUACUGAUCGUCGCCUUGGUGGGCCUCUAUCCCGCCAACUAGCUAAUCAGACGCGGAUCCAUCCCAUACCACCGGAGUUUUUCACACUGGAAUAUGCAUUCCUGUGCGCUUAUGCGGUAUUAGCAGCCGUUUCCGGCUGUUAUCCCCGGUAUGGGGCAGGUUAUCCACGCGUUACUCACCCG
Molecule: ribosomal RNA, 250 nt
Filed under: uncultured bacterium
Lineage: Bacteria
Description: partial 16S ribosomal RNA
Source: RNAcentral